Molecule: transfer RNA, 73 nt
Filed under: Tupanvirus deep ocean
Lineage: Varidnaviria; Bamfordvirae; Nucleocytoviricota; Megaviricetes; Imitervirales; Mimiviridae
Also listed under: 1 other name
Description: tRNA-Trp
Rfam family: tRNA
About the family: Transfer RNA (tRNA) molecules are approximately 80 nucleotides in length.
Source: RNAcentral
GGAACGAUCGUAUAGUCAGCAGUAUAACGGAUUCCAAACCCGUUGGCAGGGGUGCAAUUCCUCUUCGUUCCAC